CUCUGUGUCAUUUUACACAGCGUGGGAAAGUUCUUUGGAAUUUUCUCACACUGUGUAAAAUGACACAGAG
RNAcentral lists this microRNA precursor (70 nucleotides) under Pelobates cultripes (western spadefoot toad). It matches the Rfam family "mir-8/mir-141/mir-200 microRNA precursor family". Rfam says of the family: The bounds of the precursors are predicted based on conservation and base pairing and are not generally known. Lineage: Eukaryota; Metazoa; Chordata; Amphibia; Anura; Pelobatidae. The record is from RNAcentral.